CCUGCUUAAGCGUUGCAGAAUCUGCCGGUGUCGCCGCUUCGGCAGGCGAAGAAAAGUCGACGUGGACUGAGGUCUCGAAGCUCACAGUAUCGCGGUGUGACGUUUUAUCAGCGUACUGGUCGUUGGGAAUCACAUAUCUGAUACAAAGGUACAUAUCAUACUUAAGAAGUGGCUAUAAAGAUACUAAAAACUGAACGCUUAAACAAAGAUUUUGCAAAAAGUACUUGCCGAGGAAGUUUAUAUUUUGAUUCUUGAGGUCAGUAUAUAUAUACUCUUUUCUUUUUUGCAUUGUUCGACUGCAUUUUCUUUAAGGAUGAGCUUGGAACCAACCGGUACCGAAAAUCCCCUAAAAUGGGUACCGGUACCGAAUAUACCCGGUACGGUUCGGUACCGGUAUUGAGGAUAAAAAUCGGUACCAAAAACGUCAAAUGUCGGUAUCGAAAAUGUACGCGGUUAGGUAACUUCCCUAAUUUUCUUUGCAAACUGUAUUAUUGUUUUUUCCUUACAUGUGACAUUUAGUAAGAUUUAUUAUGUUCAGGCAAGUCCGACAUACUAAUGUAGUGUAGUUUACACGAGCAUGUACCAAGCUUUCAAGUUUGUGCAUUGUAACAGUUGGCAGUUGGAUUACUCUAAGAUGCCUAGAAGUCGAAAGGGUUCAUCAGGAGGUGGUGCUGAUUUGGAGUAUGUUCAUGCAGAUGCACGGGCUUCUGCCUACAGUUCGUUUGCAGCUGGAGCUGCAUUGAUUGCUGGUAUUUAUGGGCAAUUGGGUUUAAUAUGCAGCCUUUACUUUCUCUAAUUUUGAUUCACUUUUUAUUGAAUGGAUAAUCGGGUUACAUCUUUUCUCUAACAGGUCAAAUAGAAAGAUUUAGCUAAAUAUUAAAAAGAAAACUCAAAUGGUUCAAAUGGGCCAAAAGUCUCUCAAAGCUUAUUUAAUAGUGCACACAAUUUAGAUCGGCUUAUUAAUAUAGGCGAUUAUUUAUAAAGUCAACUGAUUUUGCUAAAAUGAGUUCAGUAUUUACACUAGGAGCACG
Helianthus annuus (common sunflower) is the source of this 1031-nucleotide long non-coding RNA. RefSeq lists it as uncharacterized. Lineage: Eukaryota; Viridiplantae; Streptophyta; Magnoliopsida; Asterales; Asteraceae. The record is from RefSeq and is a predicted model, not a curated record. The transcript is spliced from 3 exons.